This 501-nucleotide ribosomal RNA is filed under the name uncultured bacterium. Its description in RNAcentral is "partial 16S ribosomal RNA". It matches the Rfam family "Bacterial small subunit ribosomal RNA", at positions 28 to 523 of the family's 1533-position model. The record is from RNAcentral.
GUUGAACGCUGGCGGCAGGCUUAACACAUGCAAGUCGAGCGGGGGAAGGUAGCUUGCUACUGGACCUAGCGGCGGACGGGUGAGUAAUGCUUAGGAAUCUGCCUAUUAGUGGGGGACAACAUCUCGAAAGGGAUGCUAAUACCGCAUACGUCCUACGGGAGAAAGCAGGGGAUCUUCGGACCUUGCGCUAAUAGAUGAGCCUAAGUCGGAUUAGCUAGUUGGUGGGGUAAAGGCCUACCAAGGCGACGAUCUGUAGCGGGUCUGAGAGGAUGGUCCGCCACACUGGGACUGAGACACGGCCCAGACUCCUACGGGAGGCAGCAGUGGGGAAUAUUGGACAAUGGGGGGAACCCUGAUCCAGCCAUGCCGCGUGUGUGAAGAAGGCCUUAUGGUUGUAAAGCACUUUAAGCGAGGAGGAGGCUACUUUAGUUAAUACCUAGAGAUAGUGGACGUUACUCGCAGAAUAAGCACCGGCUAACUCUGUGCCAGCAGCCGCGGUAA